Molecule: ribosomal RNA, 112 nt
Filed under: Ixodes scapularis (black-legged tick)
Lineage: Eukaryota; Metazoa; Arthropoda; Arachnida; Ixodida; Ixodidae
Source: RNAcentral
GCCAUCGGCCAUACCACGCUGAAUGCGCCGGUUCUCGUCCGAUCACCGAAGCUAAGCAACAUCGGGCUCCGUCAGUAUUGGGGGGAGGGAGGAACACGGAGUGCUGAUGGCA